Molecule: long non-coding RNA, 702 nt
Organism: Equus quagga
Lineage: Eukaryota; Metazoa; Chordata; Mammalia; Perissodactyla; Equidae
Exons: 4
Source: RefSeq, a predicted model, not a curated record
GUACGCCAGAGCCCGGGGAGUUGCUCAAUACAGCGCUUCUCCUGCGUGGCCAAUGGAGAGCCGGAGACUUGUCUUCCCGAAGGCGCUGCAACUGCGGCGUGGGACUGCAUGCUGGGAAUUGUAGUUCCGCACUGUGGAUUCUCUGAUUGGAAAGUCUAGCCACCUGGGACAUGAGAGACGUGAAAAUUCAGACUUAAAGAGUGCACAUUUGCCUUUGAUCAUCUUACAGGGAUUGUAACUUCUUUUGAUGUCUACUAGCAGCUCCAGAAUUAAAUCCUCAACAGAAGAAGAGUUUCUUUCUUCCUAAGAAUUGUGUCUAGUCCUGAGUCACCUGCUGGAGCCAGAGAUGGAUCACACCAUGUGAACCGCGUGAGCUGAGAAUAGGAAGGAAUGAUUCCCAAGGGGAAAUCGAGAGCUGUUGCCAAAAGAAGGGGAAUGGAUGCUGGUGAGAGGGGCAUAAGCGCACACUGUGUACUACAGCACAUGUGUUGAUACUGAAAAGGUGAUCUGCUGUAACCAUGGGGACUUGGUGUAACCCCUUUUCAUGAUGAUUAUUCUCUCAUGCACCAUAUUUCCUACAACAAAUGGCUGUAUUUUUUUCUUUUAAUUUUGAAAAGAAUAAAAAAGGAAAAUGCAAAGAACAAUGCAACCAUCACCCAAGGCCCCUCUACCUAGAAUUCGUAAAUGUUAACAUUUUGCCAC